RNAcentral lists this long non-coding RNA (231 nucleotides) under Elaeis guineensis (African oil palm). Its description in RNAcentral is "long non-coding RNA (EGUI_LNC008233)". Lineage: Eukaryota; Viridiplantae; Streptophyta; Magnoliopsida; Arecales; Arecaceae. The record is from RNAcentral.
UUGGUCUAUAGUGGCUGUGCAAGGCAGGGAUGGGAGGUGAGACAGUGUCAGUAAAGUGGAAGAUGACUAUUGCUCAUCUCCAACAUGGUUCAAGCUACAACUAUAGUUAUUGCCCAGCUAAGAAAUCUAAAAGGAGGGUGAAUUGGGUUCUUGAAAAAUUUUAAGAGCUAGUGAUUUGGUGCCAAACCUAGCACCUAUAUUUACUCCCCAAGCUCCUACUUGAAAAUUUUC